CCUACGGGAGGCAGCAGUGGGGAAUAUUGCACAAUGGGCGCAAGCCUGAUGCAGCCAUGCCGCGUGUGUGAAGAAGGCCUUCGGGUUGUAAAGCACUUUCAGCGGGGAGGAAGGCGGUGAGGUUAAUAACCUCAUCGAUUGACGUACCCGCAGAAGAAGCACCGGCUAACUCCGUGCCAGCAGCCGCGGUAAUACGGAGGGUGCAAGCGUUAAUCGGAAUUACUGGGCGUAAAGCGCACGCAGGCGGUCUGUCAAGUCGGAUGUGAAAUCCCCGGGCUCAACCUGGGAACUGCAUUCGAAACUGGCAGGCUAGAGUCUUGUAGAGGGGGGUAGAAUUCCAGGUGUAGCGGUGAAAUGCGUAGAGAUCUGGAGGAAUACCGGUGGCGAAGGCGGCCCCCUGGACAAAGACUGACGCUCAGGUGCGAAAGCGUGGGGAGCAAACAGGAUUAGAUACCCGUGUAGUC
Molecule: ribosomal RNA, 464 nt
Filed under: uncultured Klebsiella sp.
Lineage: Bacteria; Pseudomonadati; Pseudomonadota; Gammaproteobacteria; Enterobacterales; Enterobacteriaceae
Description: bacterial SSU rRNA
Rfam family: Bacterial small subunit ribosomal RNA
Source: RNAcentral